Molecule: long non-coding RNA, 758 nt
Filed under: Lathyrus oleraceus (garden pea)
Lineage: Eukaryota; Viridiplantae; Streptophyta; Magnoliopsida; Fabales; Fabaceae
Description: Pisum sativum (pea) long non-coding RNA (PSAT_LNC033745)
Rfam family: tRNA (bases 161-253)
Source: RNAcentral
GAUCAUGCAUAUAUAAUAUAUACGGAUAGAGAACUAGACCAAUAGAUUCACACUGGAUAUCUUUAUCAUAGAGAGAUAUCUUUAUCAUAGAGAAAAGGGUAUUAAUUUGUAUGGUCAUGUUCUCUUGGGUGGAAUAAAGAUAAAAUAGAAAUUAUCUUUUGGAGAGAUGGCUGAGUGGUUGAUAGCUCCGGUCUUGAAAACCGGUAUAGUUCGAAACAAAGAACUAUCGAGGGUUCGAAUCCCCCUCUCUCCUUUUCUUGGCGAAUGGAUUUUUUUUAUUGAUUUUGGUUGGCUCCGUUUUUUCGGGCUCGGCUAUAUCACCACUUAGCCGAGCCCGAAAAAAGAUUAGAUAUAAAUGAAUUGAAAAACAAAACCUUAUCACACUGGAUAUCUUUAUCAUAGAGAGAUAUCUUUAUCAUAGAGAAAAGGGUAUUAAUUUGUAUGGUCAUGUUCUCUUGAGUGGAAUAAAGAUAAAAUAGAAAUUAUCUUUUGGAGAGAUGGCUGAGAGGUUGAUAGCUCCGGUCUUGAAAACCGGUAUAGUUCGAAACAAAGAACUAUCGAGGGUUCGAAUCCCCCUCUCUCCUUUUUCUUGGCGAAUGGAUUUUUUUUAUUGAUUUUGGUUGGCUCCGUUUUUUAGGGCUCGGCUAUAUCACCACUUAGCCGAGCCCGAAAAAAGAUUAGAUAUAAAUGAAUUGAAAAACAAAACCUUUUUUCAAUAUGAUCUCCUCGACUCAACCCAAUAUGUAUACUAAAAUCAA